GGAUUAGAUACCCUGGUAGUCCACGCUGUAAACGAUGAGAACUAGGCGUUGGGCGGGUUAAACCGUUCGGUGCCGUAGCAAACGCGUUAAGUUCUCCGCCUGGGGAGUACGGCCGCAAGGUUGAAACUCAAAGGAAUUGACGGGGGCCCGCACAAGCGGUGGAGCAUGUGGUUUAAUUCGAUGCAACGCGAAGAACCUUACCUGCCCUUGACAUCCUUGGAAGCGUUUAGAGAUAGACGUGUGCCUUCGGGAACCGAGAGACAGGUGCUGCAUGGCUGUCGUCAGCUCGUGCUG
RNAcentral lists this ribosomal RNA (294 nucleotides) under uncultured bacterium. RNAcentral's name for it is "partial 16S ribosomal RNA". It matches the Rfam family "Bacterial small subunit ribosomal RNA", at positions 775 to 1067 of the family's 1533-position model. The record is from RNAcentral.